GUGGUAAAGGGGUGAAGGCGAAGGAGGGAGUUCCUGAGAGCAAGCAACACAUGCCUGGCGCGGUGCGGUGCUGCUGGCGGCGGGUGGGGCCGCCGGGCGGGCCGCCGCGGCUUUCUCCUGUCGUCGGAGGCUGCUGACAGGAAAACGAGCCGGGUGGGGAGCGCCCCGGCCCGGGCCCUUUCCCCUGAAAGUCUGCCGGGGCCGGGUAAGCCAGAUAGAGACUCUGGCCCAUGUUACAAACGGACGUUGAGGAUCGCAAAGAUCAGCCUUCUAGCCCUCUCUGUGCCUGUUACGAGCUUUGUGACCUGUGGCAAGUCCCUUAACCCGCGCCUCAGUUUCCCCACUCUUCUAGAGGACUUGCGACCUGAGAGUGGUCGAGAAGAAAAAAAAGUUCACGUCACAAGCACUACCUGCCUAGUGACAGGAUUCAGAUGAAACAUGACAAACUUGUAAACGCUGCAACCCGGACAUGUCCGUGCACAACUCUCCAGUGAGCUUGAUGGGAAUGGGGAGACAAACCACACAUACUGCCACGCUGUGCCGGGCAGCAUGAGAUCAAAGAGAAACCCGAGGAGGAGCAAGUCCCUGCUGGCUCAGGCGCAGACAGCAAGUCAGAGCCCCCCAGUCCUGGGAAAGCCCAGGCGGCCAGAGCCUCAGCAGAGUCCACCCUGACUUUCCCUCGGCAGGCCCUGGUGCUCACUGCUCGGGACAGUGUGCUGGGCAGCCACUCGUCUAGAAGAACGAAUGAAUGAACAUCGUAU
Lontra canadensis (Northern American river otter) is the source of this 761-nucleotide long non-coding RNA. RefSeq lists it as uncharacterized. The record is from RefSeq and is a predicted model, not a curated record. Lineage: Eukaryota; Metazoa; Chordata; Mammalia; Carnivora; Mustelidae. The transcript has 3 exons.